Chelonia mydas (Green sea turtle) is the source of this 438-nucleotide long non-coding RNA. RefSeq lists it as uncharacterized. The record is from RefSeq and is a predicted model, not a curated record. The transcript is spliced from 2 exons. NCBI's taxonomy places the organism in Eukaryota, Metazoa, Chordata, Testudines, Cheloniidae.
CCUCCCACUGAGGAGCAUAUUUGCUCUUCAGCUCGCUUUCAACUUGAGGUGCAGAGAGGAGGAAACCCACAGUGUGGUGGAGACAAAGCAGAGGAAAGUUACUAGCAUGUGGCAAUAUCUCGUGCUCUCAGCACUGCUCCUCUGGGUCCCAGGUAUGGGGUCAGCCUAUGUGGAGCAGCAGCCCUUUCUCACAGGGGCUCAGGAGAAUCCGAAAACCCUGCAGUGUACAUUGAAACAAACCAGCUGCAACUGGAUGUACUGGUAUAGGCGACGGGAAGGCAGGGAGCUGGAGGGACUCUUCAGCUCUCUAGCAAGUGGAUCUGGCACCAACUUCACAGCUGAGCCCAUGACAGCCCUGAGGAACAACACAAAAUGGGACCUAACAUGGAGAAGCCUUUCACUGUCAGACUCGGCUGUGUAUUACUGUGCGUGCAACAC